This is a non-coding RNA of Siniperca chuatsi (mandarin fish), 1822 nucleotides long. Lineage: Eukaryota; Metazoa; Chordata; Actinopteri; Centrarchiformes; Sinipercidae. The record is from the annotation of a RefSeq genome assembly.
CACAAAAAAGGCUUACACCUAUUUCAGGCAGUCAAAUAAACAAUUCAGACAAGGAGAAGGCAAGCAGUCUUGAAAAAAAGAAACAAAAUCCAACAGUGGACAGUCAAAAUCCAAAAAUCCACAAACAAACAAAGUGCAGGGAACCAAAAACCAGGGCGCUCGACAGCGGUGCAACAUACAAUGACGUACUGACCCUGAACAAACGAAAAACUUGGACUAAAUACACUUAGUUAGGGGCGACACUGAGACACAGGUGCAACUAAUCAGGGUGGGGCAAACAAUCAAGACUGGAGGGAAAAGCAAACAAAGACAGGAAGUAAAACAACAAGACACACGAGGAGAGAAGAACACUUCAAAAUAAUACAGGAAAUAACAGGAAAAAAACCAAAACCAUGACACAUAGCUCUCCAUUAUAACGACCUGUUCCUCUCGACUGAAGUAGGUGGCACGCGAUCGCUCCAUUUUGUGCAGAAGAUAAGUCAAAUGAUGCGUCAAACGCCCCCUUUUAUGGAAACGUACACAGAGCCUGAUAAAGAAAACCUAGUUAACAAAGAAAGACGAUCACCACCGUCGUGAUACCCGUUAUCUCUGAUUGGGGUUUUAGAUUUUGUCGAGCCAGCUAAAGCAAAGGAAGCCUGGCUCUGUCGAACUUGCUUUGUAGUACACCCCUCAGGUGUGAGCGUGAUUAUUUAUGUAAAGAGAUGUUUCGAUCGGUUCACCACCUACUGGCUCCCGCGGGUGAUUGGCUACCUUUGGAUAACGGCUCACCAGUGGCAGCUGGCCAAUAGAGGACACUAGGGCCACGUUGCUAAAAUAUUCAUUCUCAGUUAACUUGUAAUCUUUCUGAAAAGAAAUAUUAAAGGGGCCGUAGCAGGUUCACAACAAUUAGCAGCUUUUAUAUGUUAGGGAACAAAGUGAAUCAAAGGAAAGGAAACAUGUCAGCUGACAUUUCCACUGAUGACUACAUACAAGACAAGUUAUACUAGGAAAGGAGAGUGUCAGUAAAAUGUGCUGAGUGUAAAGUUGUCAGUCGGGGAAUAACACAGGGCUGUGAAUGAGCCCUGUCACUGUGAUCAGGCUCCUCCUUCUGAUCCACCAACUUAGUGUUGAUGAAGACUCAACAGAGAUCACAGCCUUCUUUAUACUCGCUGUAGCUCACAGUUACUCAACACUGCAGACAUGACGCCUCUGUUCAUCUCGGUGUUGCUGGCUGCUGUGUGCCUCGAAUGCAGAGCACAAAAAGACAACGUGUUGCAAACAAAAGAAGAUGUGACUGCUACUGAAGGAGAGGCAGUAACACUUGGCUGUCAAUAUAACAGUAGUUUAACAAGUAAUUAUCUCUUCUGGUACAAACAGGAUGGAGACAACAGCCCAAAAUUUAUACUGAGCCGAAUUAAACUGGACGAAGGGAACACACCAGACGAGUUUAAGGAGAGAUUUUCAUCCACACUGGAUUCCACCUUAAGAUCAGUUCCUCUGAAGAUCCAGAAGCUUCAGCUGUCUGACUCUGCUGUGUACUACUGUGCUCUGCAGCCCACAGUGACAGGAAACACCAAGACUCUGUACAAAAACCUUUGGAGCAAAGACAACAGAAUACUCCACAACGUCCACUAGAGGGAGUCACACACUGUUAACCUUCAGUGGUUUAUUACAGUCUGGAUUCUUUGUACUGAUGACACAAAUUUAAGAAAAAUGAAGCCUAAAUAAUAAAACAAAAAUUCAGGAGAGUGUUUUUAUCCCUUGUUGUCAGCAGUUUCAUGUGGGAACAAUUGAGAGAAAAUAGUUCCCACAUGCUCACAACAAACCUGUGGAUUAGCUUGAG